CAUUACCAGUGACCCCCGGCUUCGGCCGGGGAUGAUCAUAACCCUUUGCUGUCCGACUCUGUUGCCUCCGGGGCGACCCUGCCUCCGGGCGGGGGCCCCGGGUGGACACAUUCAAACUCUUGCGUAACUUUGCAGUCUGAGUAAAUUUAAUUAAUAAAUUAAAACUUUCAACAACGGAUCUCUUGGUUCUGGCAUCGAUGAAGAACGCAGCGAAAUGCGAUAAGUAAUGUGAAUUGCAGAAUUCAGUGAAUCAUCGAAUCUUUGAACGCACAUUGCGCCCCCUGGUAUUCCGGGGGGCAUGCCUGUUCGAGCGUCAUUUCACCACUCAAGCCUCGCUUGGUAUUGGGCGACGCGGUCCGCCGCGCGCCUCAAAUCGACCGGCUGGGUCUUCUGUCCCCUCAGCGUUGUGGAAACUAUUCGCUAAAGGGUGCCACGGGAGGUCACGCCGUAAAACAAGCCCAUUUCUAAGGUUGACCUCGGAUCAGGUAGGGAUACCCGCUGAACUUAAGCAUAUCAAUAAGCGGAGGAAAAGAAACCAACAGGGAUUGCUCUAGUAACGGCGAGUGAAGCAGCAAUAGCUCAAAUUUGAAAUCUGGCGUCUUCGG
This 605-nucleotide ribosomal RNA is filed under the name fungal endophyte. RNAcentral's name for it is "eukaryotic LSU rRNA". The stretch from base 163 to 316 matches the Rfam family "5.8S ribosomal RNA". Lineage: Eukaryota; Fungi. The record is from RNAcentral.